AGCAUAAUUCUACAGGCUUAUGUUCUUUGAGAGGCUGUGACUACUUACCAAAUUUCCAUAUCCAGAAGCAGUGGUCUCCAUAAUGCUGAGCAGAAAACAGGAAACUGAGAUCAGGGCUCUAAGCACUCCACAGUGCCUUGCUGCAUCACCAUCUCAGCUAUUGAACCUUCUUGUUGGUUUCUUCAGCCUGUUCCACCAAAACAGUCUUCACAUGCUGGGUGAGCAAAGCAGUAAUAUAAGUUUAAAAUAUAAUGUCAAUUCAUUCCCCAAAAGCUUGAGACUAUAAAAAUGAUGCCACUAAUUAUUUUUAAAAAAUUAUGGGACUCUGCUUAAAUACCUCUGUCUGAUUCCAGGACAAGAUAUAAAAAAGAGCUAUUUCACAGGCCCAAUGAAGCAUAAAGCUUAAGCUGAUUAGUGCCACAAAGAGAACACAGGAUAUAUUAGUGUGAAGACUCAAGGUUGCGAUGCUUAACAUACAUUAAGAUGUAGGUCUUCCUUGUAUCCACAAUCACUCUGAAAAUACUAACAGAUGAGUAUCCCAAAGUUGGCUCCUAAUUGGCUCCUAUAAUCUAGUCCGUUUUCUGUCUUUCAUAGUGUAGCAAACUUUCUGUAGUCCUGGCUAUGGACUGGGUAAAUGCAUCAUUACUUAGAACAUUUUAAUUGGGCCCUGAUUUAAAGACCUGUUAUAGAUUUACUUUUCCUUUACUUGGAAUUUUUACACAUAAGACUUUGAUAGUCUAUAUUUUCAUCCAGGAAUUAUCUUUUUUUUUUUUGGAUUUUUUAUGUCUUUUUAAUUUCUCUUACCAAUUGAUUCAUAUACCUCACAACUCAGCCAUGCAUCCCUAAGUGAUCCUGUGUUUUUUAAUCACCCUCUUCAUGGGGAAAUGUAAAAAAAAAUCAUUAUUUUAAAUUGCAAAGUUUAAAUUUUAGGUUAAGAAAGAUGCUACCUCUCUGAAUCCAGAAGCUGAACUGUUUGGAGAAGACACCAUGAAGAUUCCUCCAGACCACAAGCUGAAAGAGAAGCUCAAGAAUGAACUUUGGGUGUGGUUGAUUGAACAUUUAUUUGUAUGUAUACUUUCAUGCCAAAGGGGACUGCCCCCUAACUGGUUUUUUGUCAAUGCUUCUAGCAAUUAUUGGUUUUGUUCUUUUUUUCCUCUUAUCCUCAAAUUAUUGUAAUCUAUAAGUUGAUUAUGUUUUCAUGAUCCUUUUGGGGAAAAUUUUUGCCUAUAAGGAUCACACAGGGAAAUGUAAAAAUGGAGAUUUGAAUCCCAGACUUCAAUUCCCAGAAUUCCUUGGUAGUUCCCAGAAUUCCCUGAAAUCUCACCGGAGGUCCUAACCUGGACCAAGAGCAAAAGGGGUAUUUAAACUGACUGUACAGCCUACUCUCUCUCUCUCUCAGCUUCUGCUUCUAGGGACAGGAGGCUCUCUACCUAGCAGGCAAGAUAUAGAGUAAGUGGUUGCAAAUGGCCUCUGUGCCUAGGCACGUGGCUUCUUAUUUUUGUAUUUUCUUUAUUUCUUAAUUUUUAAUAAACCUCUAAAAAUAUAAUACUUUUAGCA
Long non-coding RNA from Monodelphis domestica (gray short-tailed opossum), 1557 nucleotides. NCBI's taxonomy places the organism in Eukaryota, Metazoa, Chordata, Mammalia, Didelphimorphia, Didelphidae. The record is from Ensembl.